Molecule: ribosomal RNA, 200 nt
Filed under: uncultured bacterium
Lineage: Bacteria
Description: partial 16S ribosomal RNA
Rfam family: Bacterial small subunit ribosomal RNA
Source: RNAcentral
AGCGAACGCUGGCGGCAGGCCUAACACAUGCAAGUCGAACGCACCUUCGGGUGAGUGGCGGACGGGUGAGUAACACGUGGGAACGUACCUUUUGGUUCGGAAUAACCCAGGGAAACUUGGGCUAAUACCGGAUACGUCCGUAAGGAGAAAGAUUUAUUGCCGAAGGAUCGGCCCGCGCCCGAUUAGCUAGUUGGUGAGGU